Molecule: ribosomal RNA, 468 nt
Filed under: uncultured bacterium
Lineage: Bacteria
Description: partial 16S ribosomal RNA
Rfam family: Bacterial small subunit ribosomal RNA
Source: RNAcentral
GACGAACGCUGGCGGCGUGCUUAACACAUGCAAGUCGAACGGAAAGGCCCUGCUUUUGUGGGUUGCUCGAGUGGCGAAGGGGGGAGUAACACGUGAGUAACCUGCCCUUGACUUUGUGAUAUCUUCAGGGAACUGGGGCGAAUAUCGGAUAGGAUCUCCUGCUGCAUGUUGGUGGUUGGAAAGUUUCGGCUGUUGUGGAUGGACUCGCGGCUUAUCAGCUGGUUGGUGGGGUAGGUGCUUACCAAGGCUUUGACGGCUAGCCGGCCUGAGAGGGUGACCGGGCACAAUGGGACUGAGAUACGGACCAGAAGCGUACGGGAGGCAGCAGUGGGGAAUAUUGCACAAUGGGGGGACGCCUGAUGCAGAAACGCCGCGUGCGGGAUGACGGCCUUCGGGUUGUAAACCGCUUUCGACUGUGACGAAGCGUGAGUGACGGUAAUGGGUAAAGAAGCACCGGCUAACUACGUG